RNAcentral lists this ribosomal RNA (253 nucleotides) under uncultured bacterium. RNAcentral describes it as "partial 16S ribosomal RNA". It matches the Rfam family "Bacterial small subunit ribosomal RNA", at positions 524 to 776 of the family's 1533-position model. The record is from RNAcentral.
UACGGAGGUGGCAAGCGUUGUCCGGAUUUACUGGGCGUAAAGAGCGCGCAGGCGGUCGUUCAAGUCGCGUGUGAAAGCCCCCGGCUCAACUGGGGAGGGUCACGCGAUACUGAUCGACUCGAAGGCAGGAGAGGGAAGUGGAAUUCCCGGUGUAGUGGUGAAAUGCGUAGAUAUCGGGAGGAACACCAGUGGCGAAGGCGACUUCCUGGCCUGUUCUUGACGCUGAGGCGCGAAAGCUAGGGGAGCAAACGGG